RNAcentral lists this ribosomal RNA (468 nucleotides) under uncultured bacterium. Its description in RNAcentral is "partial 16S ribosomal RNA". It matches the Rfam family "Bacterial small subunit ribosomal RNA", at positions 28 to 507 of the family's 1533-position model. The record is from RNAcentral.
GACGAACGCUGGCGGCGUGCUUAACACAUGCAAGUCGAACGGAAAGGCCCUGCUUUUGUGGGGUGCUCGAGUGGCGAACGGGUGAGUAACACGUGAGUAACCUGCCCUUGACUUUGGGAUAACUUCAGGAAACUGGGGCUAAUACCGGAUAGGAGCUCCUGCUGCAUGGUGGGGGUUGGAAAGUUUCGGCGGUUGGGGAUGGACUCGCGGCUUAUCAGCUUGUUGGUGGGGUAGUGGCUUACCAAGGCUUUGACGGGUAGCCGGCCUGAGAGGGUGACCGGCCACAUUGGGACUGAGAUACGGCCCAGACUCCUACGGGAGGCAGCAGUGGGGAAUAUUGCACAAUGGGCGGGAGCCUGAUGCAGCGACGCCGCGUGCGGGAUGACGGCCUUCGGGUUGUAAACCGCUUUCGCCUGUGACGAAGCGUGAGUGACGGUAAUGGGUAAAGAAGCACCGGCUAACUACGUG